Xyrichtys novacula (pearly razorfish) is the source of this 9147-nucleotide non-coding RNA. NCBI's taxonomy places the organism in Eukaryota, Metazoa, Chordata, Actinopteri, Labriformes, Labridae. The record is from the annotation of a GenBank genome assembly.
UUUUAGAGGAAACGUUUUUUUUUUUCAUAUCAGUACUUUUCUUUCAGUUUUUGGAAGUUACAAGCAGCCCUUAAAUGCAGCAGUGUGAUUUCACAGAUACAGUCCAGUAGAGGGAGCUAAAUAUCCAUUUAUCGGCCUCAUGUCGUGUUGGUGUGUGAAAGCAUCUUUAGUAUGAGAAAACUUGUAAACUUUAAGUGUGUGCGCUUUAAUCUAGGCCUAUUAUUAACGCCACAGACAAAGCGAAAAAACUCUGAGCGUAUGCACAUGCGCGUACGGACGUGCACACGCGCUACCAAUUGUUCCGACGGGCCAGCAGUUUCCACCCAGGCUUUGUUUUCUGCGCAGGUGCCCAAAAUGAUUGUUGGAAAAUGUGAAAUUUGAUCAGCAGACCAAAACAUCAUUAAGUCCCCGCUGUUCCCGGUGAUUACAGGUCAGCGCCGUUUCCGCGUUUCCCUCUCACUCCCUCCUCUGCACGCGCUCGAGCACGCUGCACACACCUGCGCGCGGCUCCGCCCACCUGAAGUUCUCUCCCAACUAAUUUUAUUUAUCAAUAAUUAGCAGCGCAGCGCUCGGUUAUUUGAAAUUGCGCUCAGACACGGAAACCUUUCCGGGAUGUAUCAUAGUAAUUAUGUGUGUCAGCUGAGAAUGCUUUUUACAUCUGCGAGUCGAAUGGAGCUGAAUAUUAACGAGUCCGCGCUGGAUGGGAUUAAUUGCUGGAGAAUGUACCGAUAAACACACAAGCGAAGAAGAGUUAGAGUCCAGGGCGAUGCGGUAAUGAAGAGAUUUAACCAGGAUAGAGUGAGGAAGGAGGGAGAGGAUUGAGGCGGAAGGAAGGUAGGAAAGAGGAAAACAAACGUGGAGAGACAAAAAAAGACAAAAAUGGUUUAAAGAUUUAAGAAUUCAAAACUCACAAAUGAAAGACAGACCACAACACAGACUGUCAGAACUGAGGCACAAAUGUUUCUAUUCAACUUCAAUGAGUGAAACUUUGCACCCAGAGCCUAAAAACACAAAAAUGACAAACACAGACAUCAAAUAUUCAAUAUUAAUUAUAUUGAAAAUUACAUUAUUGAAACACUGCAUGGUUAGUUAUGAGGCAUGUCAUCUGCCAAGUUCAGAAACACACUGAAGAAAACACUGCAGUCUUAUAGGGGGUUGUUACAUGCCCCCCAAAACUCACGCCCCAAAUCUGAGCGGGGUGUAAAACUAGCUUUACAUAUACAAAAUAAUUUAACCUUCUUUAUCGUUACUAUUUGUGUUGUUUAUAGUGUAAAUACUUGUAUAUUAUCUCUAUAUUUUUACUUAUUUUACUCAUUUGAUCUAUUUAUCUCUAUAUUUUUACUUAUUUUUUCUAUUUUGUCUUUUAUUUUAUCUAUUAUUUGUCUCUUCUUUACUGUAUUUGCACUGGAGUACUGUAACGAAAGCAAUUUCCCCCUGGGGAUUAUUAAAGUAUUUCUGAUUCUGAUACUGAUGAUUCUUAAGAAAAAAACUAUCAAAAACAACCCUCGGGAUCUUUCAAAGCAAAAGUUUUUUUUUUUUUUUUAACUGAAACCAAAGAUCACUUUUUAUUCUGGAUUAUUGUUUACAUGAAUUUGAACAGAUUGCUUUCCAAAACGAUGAAAGAUUAUCUUUAACUGACUGUAAUUAGGUGAAAAAGUUAAAUUACAUAUAACAAAAUUUAAGGAAUAAACUGCCAACCCAUGAAUAAUUAUCUACUAACUGUUAAGAAGUCCUUGUUUAGAUUUUGUUAGACAUAAAAUCAUGAAGUGACUGAACAAACGUCACAAUAGACUUUGAGGUGUGGCACAGAGACGGGGAUCUGGAUGACUGGUUUUGGUCUGCAGGCUUUGACCCUCAGUUCACUAGAUCCAGAAUUAUCUGAUUGGGAUUCAGAGGGACGGAGACUCUGUGUGAGCUCCUCACUCAGCUCAUUCCUCUGUUGUGCCACUGAAAGGCACUGUUGUCCACAGCUCAGCACAGCUCCUGCGUUCCCACGUCCACUGUCAGAGAUGAAGAUGUCGUGUUGAGCGAACCCUCCAGAGAGUGUUUGAGGCAGGUCAAAGCUAGAUCACAGGUUAAACAUGGAGUCUGGACCAUCAAUAAUGAUGAGACAGCUUUAGCAAUGAGACAUGUCACUCCAGGAAGCUGAAUUUAACAUUUUCCAGUGUUGGAAUAAUUUUUGAAAGCUGACUUUCAAUUUGUGGAAAUGAAAAUUUGUCACAUUUAUUGUUUUCCAUGCAGUGAUUUCAGAUUUUAAGAGGGGAGAAUAAAGCUGACAGUCACAGUACAAAGAAAAGAAGUGCUUUAAACGUGUUGAAUAACUUACCUUAAAACCCCGAAGUACUUGACUUCUAUGAUUUUAUUCAGAUGUUAAAUUUUCAAAUGUUAAUUUUUGAUAUAGAAUGCUCUCUAAAAUUCCUCCAUUUGAACAGAAAGCGGCGUCAAUCUUUAAAUCUAGUGUGACAAACUCAAAUGAAAGUGCCGUUUUAUUACACGUCAUGGGUCUAAAAAUUCCAAAUUUAAGAGUCUAAUUAAAAUAUAAUAAUGACUGAGUGAAAAAAUAGGUAAUUUUGGAGUCUGAUUAUGUUCAUUUUAUUGUUUUUAAUAUAAAUUUCAUGAAGACUGACGGUCUUUAAAUACAGUUUCUUUCUUAAGCUGGUCACUCUGUGUAAAAACUCAUGUAUUCGUUUUAGGAACACAAAAAUACAAAGUAAGAUUAAACAUUUCAAACUUUACAUAAAAGAAAGUUUAUUUAUACAUUUUCUUGCAUUUCUUUAAUUCCAACUCAAACUCAUUUUUCUUGUUGGAAUAUUCAGGAGUGAAGCAGUAAUCGUCUGAGAACAGCAGCUUUUUCUUUUACAGCCUGUUUGUCUUUCUUUAUGAUGUGCUUUCUAAAAUAACUUGGUCAACUUUCCUCCGCGAAAGGAUGGCAUGUUAAACCUGGGAAAAUGUUGUUUUUGUAAAUAUGAAUUUAAUCUGGGCUACAGGUAUUGGAUUUUGUGUGUGCUGGCAGGGAGCCACGCACAAUAGCAGGCACAGGUGUUGACCAGAAAAAAAAAAAGAGGAGAGAGAGAAAAGGGAAAUGCAGAAAGUGAUUUGAAUUAUCAUCGUGGAAUUCAUUUGGUGUCUGCAAGAGAGACAGAGAAAAAGAGAGAGAGCUUUAAAUAGAGGCACAAAGUUUUAUGUAAAAUUGGUGCAAAGAUAUUUCCAAAAUUUCUCUGUCUGUUUCUCUUUGUGUUUUUUCCCCCCUCUUUUAAAAAGCUGGGCCCGGUUGAUCAAGAGUACAGAUAUCUUUGACUUAAGCGCGGCGUAAUGAGAGAAAUUAGCACAAAUGCUCUAAGUAAUAGUUCCUGAUUUUUUUCUCACUCACAAAUUAUUUCUCAACUUGUUUUUGUAUCUGUGCAUAAAUUAAAAAAUCUGCUUAAAUUUAUUAUUCAUCUGAGAUGUGAUUAAUAUGCAAAAUUAUGCAAAUUAAGAUGCAAUUAGGCUCCAAUUCUCUAGUGGAAUUUUCCAUUAUAAUUUAAUACAAAGUAACAGAGUAAUUGGUGUCACGUGUAAUUACGGUUACUCAAGUGCACUUUCAGGCAUGCAAAUGAUUCGCUAUAUGUUGGUUAUCCUAUGCAAAUGCACCAUGUGGUGUUUUAACAAGUUGAGGAAAACACAAUGGGUGCGUGGUUACCCAGUGGGGCUGGAACAAGGUAAAGACACCGGGUUUCUUCUUUUAAAUGAGAGGAGUUGGAAAACUUUCAGGGCUCAGAUUAUCACCAGCUGAGACUUCCAGUUACUUUCUCUCUUUUUUGAAUUUUAAUGAACCAGAAGAGAUGCAGACUUUCAUCCAUCACCAAUCAAUUAAUGAGAGAAAACUGUUUUUGGAUGCGACUUGUGGCUCGUGCGUGAGGGAAAGUAGGCGGUUUGAAACACGAAACUGUUGCUUCAGUUGACAAUUCACGAGAAGAGAAGUCUCACACUCCAACACCUCCACCCUCCUCAGCCCCCCCACCACCACCAUUCAGACAGAAGAGCUUUCUGCAUCUUCAUUACCACUGUUGCCCUGUUUGAUCAAUGACACUGCAAAUGUCACAAGCAAUCACAAAACAUUAUGCGGCGGGGACAAUUACGCCUCAGCUCUGUGUGACAAACUUUGCAGUCGGUGGCGUCCACGCGGAGAGAGAAGAAAAGCGAUUAUGUAAUUGAUAUCUAUUUGGAUAGAAUGAAAGUCCUGUAAACGCUCGGAGGGAGAAAUGUCUCGCAGAGCAAUUCCUUCUUGGGAGGCAAAUUGAUUUUAAAUUGUUACAUGGCUGGUUACAUGUCCUGACAUCUUGCUUUGCCUGCUCUCGCUCUCUCCGACACACACACACACACACACACACACAGAUACACUCACACUCGUGCAGACACACACCCUCUGCUAUCUGUCUUGUUCAUGAUCAACGCUCUGAACAAAGACAUCCUCCCCUCCCCUCCUCCUGCUCUCCCCCCCUCUCUCCUCACCCAUCUUCUCCCUCUCUCUCUACGCCUCCACUCUGUGUGCCUGCCUGCUCGCACAACUCUCUCAAAGAACAUAAUCCCUCAACAAAAUGGAAACACAAAGGAAACUUGAGCUCAAUCCUAUAAACGCGCGGACACAGCAGACAAUGCCUCCUCCCACCCGUUUCCCCCCUAUCCCAGUCCCCCUGCCUCCCCAACAGCCGUAAAUGCCCUGUGGCACAGAUCAGGCUUUAUCAAACCCUCCCUCCCUUCCUCCUCCUCCUACAUCCAUCCAUCCCACCCCGAUUAGCACCCUACCACCACCACCGCCUCCUCUACCCCGCCCGUCCCGCUCCCAGCAUCUCCCAUACCUCCACAUGGAGCGUUUGGAGCUUGUUUGAAGGUUUGGCUGCUGUUUCCGUCGGUUACUUCGAGGCGAGUUGUGCGUCUACGUCUCCCUCUGUUGAUGUAUGCAGAAGUGACGCCCGAGUACCUGUAGGUGUUUGUCAGAAAGUUUGACUAGAACAACAUUUAUUUGUGUGUUGAUCCUGUUCAAAACAGAACAUGUGCCUUCUUCUCGCAGCUUCUCUUUGGUGUGGAAUAAAUCUCUGAUGCUCCAGUUACUUGUCAAUCAUUUUCCAACACCUUUACAUCACUUUCUCAAUUUUUUCUUCGCAGAUGAUGUUCUUGUAUCCGUAGGUGUUGCUCAGCCGCGACGCUAACUAAAAAGUCCUCGUAAUUAAAAUGACAUUGUUUGUCGAUGCCCUCGAGAUCUACACAUGGGGGUGUUUUCUGAUCUGACACCCAAAUCUGAAAUGAGUGUUUGAUUUGUUCGCGUUUACCAAAGCUUUCCACAAUUACGGCUGAAAAAUCUGUUUUCACGACAUAGUGGUGCUGAAAGUACGACUGCAGUUUUGCUUUUUUUAGUGGCAGUAAAAUUUCUCAGCUUGAUGUAUAUACAGAUGUUGGUUCAGGUUAAAAAGAUAAUUUUGUUGACAGACAGACUAAAAUUUUAUACAGAUGUUUCAUUUUGACCCACAAAGAGACCAUUGAGGAGGAGACAUGUAGUUAUUUGUGACGUCCAGGUAGCUGUUUGAAAAGUCAUGUCCUUUCUUUUAAAUCUUUUUUUUUUUCAAAUCUCCGAUCCUGUGAUUUUAAAACUUUUUCUGUGAUCUAUUAUUCGCCCUCUCCUGGUAUAAUAAUAAAGAAAAUCAUGACUUUCUUGGAAACAUUCAUUUAAACCUAACAACCCCAAGCGAACCUUAACAGGCCGGUCGCCAGUCAUCUCGGCACAAACGUAACAACUGCCAUGAGAAACUAAGUUCCCCAAACUUUCACUUUUGCUGUCCACAAAGAGCAUCUCAAAGAUCUCCACCUUUGAAUGUGUACCUUUACGUCCUUUCGGUGCCAUUUUUGAGACAGGCAAACAUUGCUGUUGUUUUCUUAUACUCAGAUUUUCCAUAAAGGUAGAGACGCACAGGUUUGUGUCAGUUUGACGUCACUCUCUGGAGGAAACAAACAACAGAGCAAAAUGUAACACCCACGAAAGGACGUAAGUGUCCGUUAUUAUGACCCACUAAAAGAAACUGUAUUGCGGCGAGGACAGGAAAGUGCACAAACAGCCAGUAAGGAGUCAUGGCUCGCCAAAAUAAAAAGUCCUGGUACGACAAGAAGUUCAGUUUAAAAGUGUUGGAAUAAAAGUGGCAAACACCAAUUUUGGACCUCAUAUUUCCCUGUUAUGCCAAAUGGUGGUAUCACUGAGACUUCAUCCAGGUUCUCAACAAUUAAUGCUCACCAAACACCUGUAAAAGUGGCGAGCUGAAACACACACUGAAACAGAAGAUAAUUUUGACUCACUCCACAGUUUGUUUUUGAAAGUCUGUCGGCAAAAAAGGGAACAAAAAAACAAUCAUAUUUAUCUUUAAAUCAAAUCAGUGUCCUUCAAAUGAUCAGAUUUCAUUGUCAUAUGUGUAAACAUGCGUCCUAUUAUGUGAAAUAACAAAGAUGCAAACAGGAAAGAUGUGAGGUGUAAAUAACUUGUGGUUUUGUAAUGUAGGUCAGUGUCAGUUUCCACAUCUGAAUUAACUGUCUUGUGCCCGUCUGUUAAUAGAGCUCAUCCAGACCAGCACCUGAGUGCCAGCUGAUGCCCUGUGUCCUCCUCCUUGGAGAGGUUUCUGCUGCUGCGGGGCCCCCAGAAGGUGACAGAGAGGUGAGUGAGGUUUGAUCUACUCUAAUCUGGUUGUCAGUGGGAGGAGGGGACGGUGUCGGGAGCUGUUUGGCAUCAGUACCGGGACUCUCUGUGACUGUGUGGUCUUCGGAGAACCACUUACCGCCCCCGUGCUCUCCUCCAGUUCCAGCCUCUGGAAGGUGAGGCGGGCUCUCUCCUCCCUCAAACCCCCCCCCUCCUUUCAAACAUGCUGAUUAAAUCAACCCUACUACGCAGGGCGAAGCGCGAUAACAGAUGCAAAGUAGGGCGCCUUCACUCGCUGUCACAGGAAGAGGAAGUGCCCUGGUGUACCUUAACCUGUGCUUGCUGCCUCGCUGCCGCUGCCGCUACAAUGGUUGCACAGCUGGAGACGAGACAGCGAGCGUGUUAGAUCAGAGAGCAGCGAGGCUCACGUGUUGCGUUUCCUGCUUGUGCGAAUGUGACGAGUGACCAUCUGAGGCCUCAGAACAAAAGAAAUAGACAAGAUGGCUCGUUUUUGUCUUAACUGUAAUUACCUACACGCUUUGAAGUACAGAUAUGAAAAAACUGUAAUUUACAUCCUGCUCUCUAUACAUUUAGAUCCAAAUUAUCUCUGCAAACAACACCUCAGAAGAAUAAAUAUCCAAACAACACGUAAUUUGAUCACAUAUUCAUUUUGAUCAAGAAAGAAAAACCCAGGUAAGUUGUUGCAAAAUGUCUCUUGCAUGUGUUUCAAUAAUUAAUCCAAAUCAAUUUAGCAACUAAAGUAGUGGGAAGAAAAACAGGUUGGGUUUAUUUUAUAUAUUUCCCUAUGCUAAACACGCCAAUGAGCAAAUCCCACAAACAUCAGAGAUCUGGAUGGCGAGUCCUUCUCUAUAAAUUCUAUAAAUGUCUGGUCUCUUUUCAUGGAUUACUGUCAUUUGCCAUCCGCUAUUGUGAGCGCCUGCCAGACUGGCUUGCCAUUUCUGGGCCUGUGUUUCCAACCUUGAUAUAUUUGCCAAAUGAAUAUUUGAAGCUGUAAUUAAAUUUAUCCCACCUCUACACCUUCUGUAAGACGGCCACCUUGCACAUUUCUCACAUGCCAUAUUUCAGCUAUUUUUUGUGUGAAAAAAAAAAAAAAAACACAGCUCGUUGCCAUUUUUUAAUGAUUUGGAAUGAGGGUAUUUUUACAGGAUAAAUCUGAUUUCAGGACAUUCAUAAUGGUCCUGCUUGCAUAUUCACAUGUAAAUACACAUCGUGUGGUGAGGAGCCUUCAAAGCUGUCACUCGCUGCCUAAACAAACUUCAUAAAAUGUCUGUAAAUAUGAUUAAAAAAAACAGGAGAUGACAUUUUAGCAGAUUAUAAGGCAUUAGUAAAAAUCAGGCACAGCUCCAUAUCUCAAAAACAGCCAAGCACAUUACGUUAAUGUGUCCACAUACAGAAAUAAACCAUUCCCAUUAGCAUAUUAACAUACCCACAGUCUCACUUUUAAAGGAGAAACCCCCCAAAAAAGUCUGAUGUAUGCAGAAGAUUUUUCUUCAGACGACAGGAGAGGUAAUGAUUUAUUAAAAGACUAAACAGCAAGAUGCUUACACCAUUGUUCGUCCUGAGACACGAGGCCUUGAUGCAUGCAAGAAACAAAACAUUUGAUUAAUUCAUGACGAGGAACAAUGUCGCCUCAACUCUUUGUUUUUUUGUAGCCGACCAGUAUUUACCUCAGACAGACGCAGAUCCAUGGACAAUCAGUCAGAGAAAAGACACAGAAACACAGUUUUAAAGCUUUUCUUUUUAACUGUUACAUCAUUGUUGUUGUUGUCUAAAAUUCAUCACCUCAGACUGUGUCCAAAGUCACAAAUAAUUACCUCAGACAUGUCUCUGAUAAAACUAGAUCUCCAGUUUUCUGUGGACAAAUCAGCUUCAGUGACAGUGCACCCCAACAGUCAGCAUACAACAUUUAAUAUUUCAGCAAUGUACAGAACAUGGAAACACAAUGGCCAAUAAUGUUCAACAAUCACUGAAAUGAAGUACGAUGAUUUAAUUAGUGAGUAAAUCUGGACCAAACUUAAAUCUAGACAAAGCCAUACUCACAUUUUCAGAUUAUUUUAACGCAGAUCUUCAUACUUAUCAUUUGAAUUAUGUGCAUCCUAGAUCCCUGAGAGAAAGUUCAACAAGAAGUCUAACUUUUCUGUUUCUAUGAGCAGAAGUAGGGGGUGAAUUCUACACAUGCGUAGGAACUGUAGGUUUGACAGUUUGUCCCGAAGUGAUGAUGAAAUCAGACUUUCGCUUCAUUUUCAUUAAGAUCUAAAAAGUCACAGUGAUGGUACUAUCGCAGUAUAUAUGGAAGACUUGAAAAAACACACUAAGUCAGAAAAACAGAAAGAAAGAGUGAAAGAGCGACAUAUUACUUUAUAAACUCUACUAAGUGGCUUGCAGAUAUAUCAUCAUUCAUGUCUCAUCUUGCUAGAAGUCAUGUUUUAUCCCCGUGUCAGAAACCUCCGAUGAAACGAAAACUCUCC